Molecule: non-coding RNA, 87 nt
Organism: Chaetomidium leptoderma
Lineage: Eukaryota; Fungi; Ascomycota; Sordariomycetes; Sordariales; Chaetomiaceae
Source: the annotation of a GenBank genome assembly
GGGCGUGUGGCUCAGUUGGUAGAGCGUUCGCUUAGCAUGUCCUUCGGAUUAUGCGAAAGGUCCUGGGUUCGAUUCCCAGCCCGUCCA